AUCCCAGGAAUCAAGGGGUUAGCACACGAUGAGCGCUUGACAGCGCUGGGCCUCUACUCGCUGGAGUUUAGAAGAUUGAGAGGGGACCUCAUAGAAACUUACAGAAUAAUGAAAGGUACAGAUAGAGUGGA
Molecule: long non-coding RNA, 131 nt
Organism: Amblyraja radiata (thorny skate)
Lineage: Eukaryota; Metazoa; Chordata; Chondrichthyes; Rajiformes; Rajidae
Exons: 3
Source: RefSeq, a predicted model, not a curated record